GUGGCUGUUUUAAAAGGCGGGUUUUCAUGCGGUCACCUGAAGCUGUUUUUCUCUUUGUGCCUCAGAGUGAGAGGAUCUGGAGGAAGGCGAGACUCCUCUGUAUCUGUGCCCUCUCCUCCUUGUCACACGUGGAGAGUGUGGGGGACCAGAUGACCGGCAAAAUAAAAUAACUCGGGUAGGGUUGUAAGAGAUUAUUUAAUUGAAGAAAAGGUGGCAUGUGACACCAUUUUUAAGUAUGCAAAGAUACAGAGAGUGGCCAGCUGUUUUCCAUCUCGUAGGGGCGAUGCAGUCAGUCCUCCUCAAACUUGCUGAAACUCAGAUGCUUGGACCCCACCCUCGGAGUUUCCAGUCGAGUGGGUCUGGGCUGGGGCCCAUGAAUUUGCAUUUCUAACAAGCUGCCGGGUGAUGCUGGCCCUGCAGAUCAGCAGACCAGGCCUACAGUAUGCGGUUCUGGUCGGAAGCCGGCACAAGGGGUUUCAGCCCAACUUAGGGAACGCUUCAUCAGACAGCAGAGCAAGAGGAUUCUCUCCCCAAUCCUCCAAUUUUUAAUGUUUUUUUCUGGAGGCGUUAGAUUCUCACUUGGUUGGAAUAGAAUGAGUGGGGUUUUUCUUCCUUAAAAAGCAGAUGCUUCUAACUGUAGGAGCAAUUCAAAGGUGAAACGGCCCCAUUUUGAGGCACAGCACCCCAGCAGUCAGUGUUCACAGAGGAGGACAUGUUCGAGGAAAUGUGUUUCAGGACAUGCUGAACUGGUUCAUUCCAUCUCUAUGAUUCCAUGGGGAGCUGCCCACUGUGGACAGGACCAUGUGGUAAGAAUGAAUUCAGCUGGAGGAAACCUUGUAACAGCGGUUCACACAGCAGCAGCUCCAGCUCCAGGAACCACAACAGGGAGCAAAAGUGACAUCCACACAUUCUAAUCGCUCCACAGUCUAGGGACCAGGGCAAAAGAGAGGAAUCAGGAAAAACCCAAGCUGUAUAAAUAUAGGUGGGGGAAUGACGGGUUAUGCCUAAGAAUAGAAAAAGAAAAACCCUCAGGGUCAGAGGAGGUGCUGAGCUGAGGGUAGCUUCAACGAAACUGUCUGGGGCAGAGUGCCAUGCUGGUUUCCACUCGCUGGCUUAGAAGAAGAGAGCUUUGACAGAAUUUACUGUGCCAUGUCCUUCCUCCAUUCGCAGCUUCUAAAUGAUUAAUGGAAGGCCAUAAGGAUGAGGGGAGACUCCAGAGGGAAGUGUUCAAAACGAUUACCUGCUUGGAAGAAAAGAAGCAGCCGGGAGGGGCUUUAAGAGAAUCAUUUAGCUUCUUCACCUGAGGGUAGGAGAGCCAAAUAGUCACCUAGAGGAAGAUGAGUUAGGAACCCUGUGAAACUGUGCCCUGAAGGGUCACUGGGAGAGGUGCUUCAAAACAACCGAUGAGACUCGCUGAGAUGCGGAAGGAUGGCUGCGCCCUCUGCCCGGGGCGGGAGUCACUGGAGCUGGGCUUGUGGGCAGCCGUCCUGCCUGCCUGCUGUUUGAUUUUAAUUCUCAUGCAUCCUGUACUUAAGCAGUACCUGAACUUCUCUGCUGUUCAAUUCCUCUGCAUGUUUGACAAUUUCUCUGACACCUCCUUGAUGGGGGACUCCAUGCUAAAUGUUGAGGUGGCUGGAAAGAAAGGCUGUAAACCAGGCGCCGUGCCCUACAGCAGCUUGCAGUUCCAUUCUGCUCUUGCCCUAUUAUUAUUACGUUUUUUUGCAAAACUGUUAUUCCAAAAGGCCAGCUGGGUCUAAAUAACCCAGGCAAAGUAGUCAGAGUGGGAUGGGGAAAGUUGUUCUGUUCACCUGGAUGAUCUUGUGAUAUUCAUAAAAACAUUGUUUACAUGGUUAGUUUCACAAGAGUGUUUCAAAACUAACUAACCGAAUGAAGAAGGCAAUAGACGGGAAUUUUAGGGGGGAAAAAGGCUCAUUUUUAUCAUUUAAAUAUGUUAUCUUUAUUAACUAAAAUGCAUGUCCUUUUUAACGCUGAG
Molecule: long non-coding RNA, 1993 nt
Filed under: Equus caballus (horse)
Lineage: Eukaryota; Metazoa; Chordata; Mammalia; Perissodactyla; Equidae
Description: lncRNA (ENSECAG00000054114.1)
Source: RNAcentral